AUGGUUAAAUGUGGAACGUUGGCUUCCUGCAAGAGCUUGGAGUUUCCAGAAACACCGAAACUGCCUCCCCUUGGGCGAUCCAAGAGCCUCGGGGGCAAUAGCUCUGACGCAGUUCAGACUUCACUCCAAGCCACAGAAGCGCAAACAACCUUUCUUUUCAGCCGGGCCUUUGAAGCUCUCUACUCAGCCGGAAAACACUUCGGAGCCAAACAGAAGCGAACACCGACCGACAGCGGCCGGCAGGGGACGGCAGACCCCGGCCUUUUCAGCCGCGGGGGCUGCAGCCCGCGCCCCCAGGUGGGGGUCCCCAGGACCACCAAACCUGUCGCAGGUUUUCUGCUCAGUGGCUCCACCAGCCCAGCUCAUUCCCUUCUCAGGCUGCAGGCUCGGGCUGCAAGGGAGAGGAUUCCAAGGCUGGGAUGGGAGCUGGUGCGGGCGCCUGGCCAAUUGCUGUGGACGAUUUAUGCUUCUGAUAGGAAAACUGGAGAUGCUGGCCAAGUCGGCAGCUGCCUGCAUUCCGGCAAAGUCACGGGGCGGCGGCGGCGGCCUCGCGGCCAGUGCCCGCGCGGCGGGAGCCGGGACCCGCCCGGGGGAAGGAUGCGCGGAGCCAAGGUAGGGGACCCCUCCGCCUCCAAGCUGGGCUCGGGUCUGCCGGCGCGGGGUCUGCCCUCCGGGGGUGGAGGUGGGGAGCUUGUCAGGUCCCUCGGCCCAGCAGCUGGCUCAGCGACGGAACACAACCGGGUAGCUGGGUUGACAAUCUGUGUGAACGUGGAGGAAUGGAAUUUUCAGUGAGUGGGUUUUUCCCUUUCCAGGAGCACUGAUGCUUGGCCCUGGUGCUCCAGACCCUGAAGUCCAGUUUCGGAACUGGCCAGAGUAGGCGAUGUUUCAGAGAAGGGCAGCCGCCUAUGUCUCCCUGUUUUUACAUCCUUUUGCUGAGGGUGUGUGAAGAGACUGUGACGGGCUGGGUGGGAAGAGAUGGACAAAGAGCUCCAAUACCUGUAUUUCCGAGCAGAGACAUUUCACAGCCAGGAAAAACCAAUAUAAUCAGUUCUGCCUUAACAUGCCUACUAUGGGCAUGUCAUUUUCCUGCUACAAAUUUACCUUGUUUUAUGCUAAACCUGUGUUCCUAGAAAGACAUAUUGCUGUCCCUCAAUCGUGUCCAAGUCUUUGUGACUCUAUGGACUUCAGCAUGCCAGGCUUCCCUGUCCUUCACCGUCUUCCAGAGUUUGCUCAAACUAACAUCUGUUGAGUCAAUGAUGCCAUCCAACCAUCUCAUCCUCUGCUGCCCCCUUCUCNNNNNNNNNNNNNNNNNNNNNNNNNNNNNNNNNNNNNNNNNNNNNNNNNNNNNNNNNNNNNNNNNNNNNNNNNNNNGUAUUGGAGCUUCAGCUUUAGCAAUGAAUUCCUUCCAAUGAAUAUUCAGAGUUGGUUUCCUUUAGGAUGGAUUGGUUUGCUCUCCUUGCUGUCUAAGGGACUCUUGAGAGUCUUCUCUAGCACAUUUUGAAAGCAUCAAUUCUUCGGCGCCUAGCCUUCUUUAUGGUCCAACUCUCACAUCCAACAUACAUGACUAC
This 1568-nucleotide long non-coding RNA is filed under the name Capra hircus (goat). RNAcentral's name for it is "lncRNA (ENSCHIG00010017068.1)". Lineage: Eukaryota; Metazoa; Chordata; Mammalia; Artiodactyla; Bovidae. The record is from RNAcentral.